Molecule: ribosomal RNA, 253 nt
Filed under: uncultured bacterium
Lineage: Bacteria
Description: partial 16S ribosomal RNA
Rfam family: Bacterial small subunit ribosomal RNA
Source: RNAcentral
UACGAAGGGGGCAAGCGUUGUUCGGAAUUACUGGGCGUAAAGGGCGCGUAGGCGGCUUACCAAGUCAGGCGUGAAAUUCCCGGGCUCAACCUGGGGGCUGCGCUUGAUACUGGUGAGCUUGAAUGCGGGAGAGGAUAGUGGGAUUCCCAGUGUAGAGGUGAAAUUCGUAGAUAUUGGGAAGAACACCGGUGGCGAAGGCGGCUAUCUGGCCCGUAAUUGACGCUGAGGCGCGAAAGCGUGGGGAGCAAACAGG